Molecule: small nucleolar RNA, 70 nt
Organism: Poecilia mexicana
Lineage: Eukaryota; Metazoa; Chordata; Actinopteri; Cyprinodontiformes; Poeciliidae
Source: Ensembl
UGAGCGAUGAGGAUGAAAACAUUUGACAGUUAUUAAACAUGGUGACUGUAUACGCUAUUCUGAGCCGAGA